GGUCAAGCUACUAAGGGCAUGCGUGUGGAUGCCUUGGCGCCAACAGGCGAUGAAGGACGUGGCCAGCUGCGAUAAGCCUCGGGGAGAAGCAAGCAUUCUAUGAUCCGGGGAUUUCCGAAUGGGGGAACCCAUCUGGUGUGAACACCAGAUAUCUUACGGUGAAUUCAUAGCCGUCUGAUGCAAACCUAGGGAAGUGAACCAUCUCAGUACCUAGAGGAAGAGAAAACAACCGUGAUUCCGAUAGUAGUGGCGAGCGAACUCGGAAUAGCCUAAACCGUCCGAUCCGAAAGGAGAGGGCGGGGUUGCAGGACCACAAUAAUCACCUGGUUUCGUGAAGCAAUUCGCGAGGCUCAGGUGGUUAAACAAGGGAUAAGAAAGUGUUAGCUGAACGGUCUGGAAAGGCCGGCCAAAGAGGGUGACAGCCCCGUAGACGAAAAUGCAAUCUUCCUUUAAGUGGCUCCUAAGUAGCGCGGGACACGAGAAACCCUGCGUGAAUCUGCCGGGACCAUCCGGUAAGGCUAAAUACUCGUUGGCGACCGAUAGUGAACAAGUACCGUGAGGGAAAGGUGAAAAGAACCCCUGCGAGGGGAGUGAAAUAGUACCUGAAACCGCAUGCCUACAAGCAGUGGGAGGGCUAUGGCCGCAAGGCCAUGCCUGACCUCGUGCCUAUUGAAUAAUGAGCUGGCUAGUUAAUCUCAGUGGCAAGGUUAAGCGUAAGCGAGCCGAAGCGAAAGCGAGUCUGAAUAGGGCGUUCAGUCGCUGGGAUUAGACGCGAAGCGGGAUGAUCUACCCUUGGCCAGGAUGAAGGUCGUGUAACAGCGACUGGAGGUCCGAACCAGUGUUGGUUGAAAACAGCUUGGAUGAGCUGAGGGUAGGGGUGAAAGGCUAAUCAAAUUCCGUGAUAGCUCGUUCUCUCCGAAAUAGCUUUAGGGCUAGCGUCGCGUGGUCCGUUCCGGUGGUAGAGAUCUGGAUGAACUAGGGGCCUUCCCAGGUUACCGAAUUCAACCAAACUGCGAAUGUCGGAAACGUGUAGCGCGGCAGUCAGACAGUGGGAGCUAAGUUUCAUUGUCAAAAGGGGAAGAGCCCAGACCAUCAACUAAGGUCCCCAAAUUCGUGCUUAGUGGGAAAGGACGUCAAGAGGCUCAGACAGCCAGGAGGUUGGCUUAGAAGCAGCCAUCCUUUAAAGAAAGCGUAAUAGCUCACUGGUCGAGCAGCUCGGCACCGACAAUCCAACGGGGCUGAAGCACGAUACCGAAGUUAUGGAUUUGCCGCAAGGCAAGUGGUAGGAGAGCGUUCUUUACUGCAGCGAAGGUAUACCGUAAGGAGUACUGGAGCGUAAGGAGGAGACUCUGCCAGCAUAAGUAGCGAAAAACUAGGCGAGAACCCUAGUCGCCGUAAGUCUAAGGUUUCCUGAGAAAGGUUAAUCCGCUCAGGGUUAGUCGGCACCUAAGGUGAGGCCGAAAGGCGUAGCCGAUGGACACACGGUUAAUAUUCCGUGACUUCCGUAGGAGAUACCGAUGCGGGGACGCAGACUCAAGAUCCCUCUGCGCAAUGGUUACAAAGAGGGGGGGAGAGGAGAACUGGAUAGGCAAAUCCGCCAGUUCGUCUGCCGGGAAAAUCCGCUAAGGGCUGAAGGAAGCCGUACCAUAAACCGACACAGGUGGACGAGAUGAGUAUUCUCAGGCGCUCGGGUGAUGCUUUGUUCAGGAACUAGGCACAUUAGCCCCGUAACUUCGGGAGAAGGGGUGCCCACGCAAGUGGGUCGCAGUGAAUAGCCUCAGGCGACUGUUUAACAAAAACACAGGUCUCUGCUAAGUCAACAAAACGACGUAUAGGGGCUGACGCCUGCCCGGUGCCGGAAGGUUAAAGGGAGAGGUUAGCCGCAAGGCGAAGCUUUGAACUGAAGCCCCGGUGAACGGCGGCCGUAACUAUAACGGUCCUAAGGUAGCGAAAUUCCUUGUC
This 1962-nucleotide ribosomal RNA is filed under the name uncultured Acidobacteriota bacterium. RNAcentral describes it as "bacterial LSU rRNA". It matches the Rfam family "Bacterial large subunit ribosomal RNA", at positions 1 to 1973 of the family's 2925-position model. The record is from RNAcentral. Lineage: Bacteria; Pseudomonadati; Acidobacteriota.